CGGGUGAGUAACACGUAUCCAACCUGCCGUCUACUCUUGGACAGCCUUCUGAAAGGAAGAUUAAUACAAGAUGGCAUCAUGAGUUCACAUGUUCACAUGAUUAAAGGUAUUCCGGUAGACGAUGGGGAUGCGUUCCAUUAGGUUGUUGGUGAGGUAACGGCUCACCAAGCCUUCGAUGGAUAGGGGUUCUGAGAGGAAGGUCCCCCACAUUGGGACUGAGACACGGUCCAA
Molecule: ribosomal RNA, 231 nt
Filed under: uncultured bacterium
Lineage: Bacteria
Description: partial 16S ribosomal RNA
Rfam family: Bacterial small subunit ribosomal RNA
Source: RNAcentral